Molecule: long non-coding RNA, 2523 nt
Filed under: Malus domestica (apple)
Lineage: Eukaryota; Viridiplantae; Streptophyta; Magnoliopsida; Rosales; Rosaceae
Description: long non-coding RNA (MDOM_LNC007642)
Source: RNAcentral
GAGUUUUCUGUUUUAACCCUUCAAAGACUAGCGUAAAUAAGAAGUGAUUUCCGCUUGUUUUCUCUCCUGCACACCGCUCGUUUAUUUCUGGUCAUUGGAACGAACAAACAAAGGAGAAUCAAUUGACAGAAAUAAACAGGGAUGUGCAGAAAGAGAAAAUGGGUGUGCGGAAAUCAAUUCCCAAACUGUUUCAGUUUCAUUUUACUUCACCAAGAUUGAUGACAUUGAUACUACUGCCGUAUACUUGUUUUAUAUGACCAGAUGAUGGCAGGCCACAGUGGUGGGAAUCAGAGGCCGUCCUACCUCAACCAGCAGCCAGCUGCUUUCUUCUGUCGCCAGAGUGUCAAUCCUGCUACACAGCUCUUGAUUCCACCCGGGUUUUGGUACAUGACCUGACAUAAUCACAAUCUUUGUUUAGUUCUCUUAUAACAUUGACGUAUGUUUAUUUUUGAUGUGAUGAUUCAACUUAGGCCCCAACAUAAUCAAGUUAUACAAGGUUAUGGAGCUUUUAACCCACAAGGGAACAACUCCGUACCCUAUGGAGCUGCACAAAUAAGGUACUCAUAAAUCAAAUAUUGCAAAGUGAACACGGAAACAUCUUUGUUUAUGGUAAUUUUAUUAACUUGUACACGUAUGCAUCUGAUUUAGACCCCAACCCCAAUACACCCUACAAUUGCUGAAUCAGCCACAACAAAUGAACCAAGUCCCUGAAAAUCCUUUUCAAGUAGGGGAGGAUUCCGGGUAUCUGAUCUUUCUUCUUUCCUAAUUUAUUUUUCAAAUGCGGCUUAUCAGAAAAAUAACAAUCGAUCAUAGACACAAACCUUAAUUGUAUAAUAUAAUGCAUUUAGGAUCUGGGUACUGGAAUCAUCUCUGGCAAGGUAAUGCAACAUUACCAAUUAUAUUUUCUCCUAUAUAUCAAACAAUGGCUUUUCUGUAAUAAAUAUUCAGUAAAGAUAACCAUAAACAUAAAAUGUUGAAAAGCAUAUCGUAAUACAGUUCAAUCUUAAUUUUGAAAAGCAGGGCCCCGCCUCGACAACAGGAACAAAUUAACAAAGGGAAGGCGGCCCUUGCACGGAAGGCACAAAAUUCUAAUUCUAAUCCUCCCAUGCAGUCUAGGUUAGCAAUCAAAAGUUUAAUUCUUCUAUGAAUCUAUAUAUGAAAGUGUAAUACUGCAGUAAAAAUUUGGGGGAAAUUGGUAAACAGAUUACUUGAUGGGAGGGGUGUGCUUACGAUUAUCUAUAUGUCUUUUUUAGGCCUCGUGGAGUGGCUAAGUCACGACCUUCUAUCCCUAUCCCUAUAAGGCCGAGGCCGUCUGUGCUGCCUAACAUAGCUGAUCCUCCGCAUCACAGCUCUGCGCCUUCCAAAACUCAGAUGCCCUUUAGGUACCUGCAUGAUCCUUAUUUGCUUGUAUUAUUUAUUCCUUCAGGGUAAGUACAAGGAAUUUAGAAAAGAAUGGAACAUAUUACUAAUCUUAAUAUUUCAUUUAAAGAACACAAAUUGUUUACGUAGCCCAUUAGAAACAAACCCUUCACUGAAACUAAAGGGGUGAUGCUCGACACACACAAUAGGCACCCCCCCCCUCCUCUUCUCCUCUCUUUUUUUUACCUCUCACACCCUAUUAAUUUCUGCCCUUUGAUCUCCUUCAAUUCACUCGAUCAAAAGGCUGGAAAUAGAAAGAGUGUGUAUAAAAAGAGGUGUGUGGAUAGCACCAACCAACUAAAAUACUUUGGACUAUGCAAAGGUCACCUCAUAGUUAAGAUGAUGUUGGUUUACGAUGCAAUACCAGAUCUUGGCCUGCAUCUAUCAACCUUCUCUUGGUGCUUUUACAUCCAAAACAUUUUACCCUAUGUUAAUCGCUUAAAUUUAUGAAGAAACCCUUACAGAAUUAUUUCUUUUAUUGAAAUUUUUUUUUUUUUUUGCAGAUUUCCUCCCAUCCAACUUGAAGAGAUAAUGAAUCAAUCUAAUGUUACAAGUGAUAGCAGUUUUAAGAGGAGCAGUCAACUCCAAAAGUCCCUAACUGAGCAAGUAAGAGGCUUCCUUACUCAACAAUUCAAAUAAGUUUCUGAAUCUAUCGUCAAAUAUCCUACAUUAUUUUCAUUGGGAAACUUCAUAAGGAUCACACUGAUUUUUGACUUCCCAACCAACAUGAGUCUUCACCAAGCAAUAAGAUAGCAGUAUAUAAUAUAUUGUAAGAACUCUACCAUUGUGUAUAAAGGGGUUCUCCAAUCGACAUAAACAUUCUUCGAUGCACUUAGAGAAAAAUCCUAUUAAUAUGUGGUUUCUUUACUUGAGUAUGUUUUCAUAAAUAAGGGUUCUGAAGAAUAAAAAUGUUUUAGGGAGAGAUACCAGAACAGGGGUUUUCUGAAAAACAACAUGGCAAACGACCAAUAAAAGUGUCAUCCCCGGCCAAAUCCUCAGAGGUAGCAACUUUUCAGUACUGCAUUGCAUUAGGUUUUGCAACGGUUUAACCGUGGGAAAGGGUUUCAGAAUCAACAUUGUAUUAUUAUCACUGAUGAAAUCAUC